Molecule: small nucleolar RNA, 85 nt
Filed under: Lobosporangium transversale
Lineage: Eukaryota; Fungi; Mortierellomycota; Mortierellomycetes; Mortierellales; Mortierellaceae
Source: RNAcentral
UUAAAGUGAUGACACACUUUUUUCAGUUCUGCUUCCGACCUGAGACCAUGGUGGAUAACCCUUUACCAAAAUAUUAUUCUGAUUU